CGCCUAACACAUGCAAGUCGAACGAAGUAGCAAUACUUAGUGGCAGACGGGUGAGUAACAUGUGGGUAUCUUCCCUAUGGCCUGGAAUAACACGAGGAAACUUGUGCUAAUACUGGAUAAGUCUUUACGGAGAAAGCUUUAUGCACCAUUGGAUGAGCCCGCACUUGAUUAGUUUGUUGGUAGGGUAAUGGCCUACCAAGACUUUGAUCAAUAGCUGAUUUGAGAGGAUGAUCAGCCACAUUGGGACUGAGACACGGCCCAAACUCCUACGGGAGGCAGCAGUGGGGAAUCUUGCACAAUGGAGGAAACUCUGAUGCAGCGAUGCCGCGUGAGUGAAGAAGGCCUUUGGGUUGUAAAGCUCUUUCGUCGGGGAAGAAAAUGACUGUACCCGAAUAAGAAGGUCCGGCUAACUUCGUGCCAGCAGCCGCGGUAAUACGAAGGGACCUAGCGUAGUUCGGAAUUACUGGGCUUAAAGAGUUCGUAGGUGGUUGAAAAAGUUGGUGGUGAAAUCCCAGAGCUUAACUCUGGAACUGCCAUCAAAACUUUUCAGCUAGAGUAUGAUAGAGGAAAGCAGAAUUUCUAGUGUAGAGGUGAAAUUCGUAGAUAUUAGAAAGAAUACCAAUUGCGAAGGCAGCUUUCUGGAUCAUUACUGACACUGAGGAACGAAAGCAUGGGUAGCGAAGAGGAUUAGAUACCCUCGUAGUCCAUGCCGUAAACGAUGUGUGUUAGACGUUGGAAAUUUAUUUUCAGUGUCGCAGCGAAAGCAAUAAACACACCGCCUGGGGAGUACGACCGCA
This 797-nucleotide ribosomal RNA is filed under the name uncultured Pelagibacteraceae bacterium. Its description in RNAcentral is "bacterial SSU rRNA". It matches the Rfam family "Bacterial small subunit ribosomal RNA", at positions 45 to 890 of the family's 1533-position model. The record is from RNAcentral. Lineage: Bacteria; Pseudomonadati; Pseudomonadota; Alphaproteobacteria; Candidatus Pelagibacterales; Candidatus Pelagibacteraceae.